AACGAACGCUGGCGGCAUGCCUAACACAUGCAAGUCGAACGAAGCCUUCGGGCUUAGUGGCGCACGGGUGCGUAACACGUGGGAAUCUGCCCUUUGGUUCGGAAUAACAGUUAGAAAUGACUGCUAAUACCGGAUAAUGACGUAAGUCCAAAGAUUUAUCGCCGAAGGAUGAGCCCGCGUAGGAUUAGGUAGUUGGUGAGGUAAUGGCCCACCAAGCCGACGAUCCUUAGCUGGUCUGAGAGGAUGAUCAGCCACACUGGGACUGAGACACGGCCCAGACUCCUACGGGAGGCAGCAGUGGGGAAUAUUGGACAAUGGGCGAAAGCCUGAUCCAGCAAUGCCGCGUGAGUGAUGAAGGCCUUAGGGUUGUAAAGCUCUUUUACCAGGGAUGAUAAUGACAGUACCUGGAGAAUAAGCUCCGGCUAACUCCGUGCCAGCAGCCGCGGUAAAGUAUCGU
RNAcentral lists this ribosomal RNA (457 nucleotides) under uncultured bacterium. RNAcentral's name for it is "bacterial SSU rRNA". It matches the Rfam family "Bacterial small subunit ribosomal RNA", at positions 29 to 528 of the family's 1533-position model. The record is from RNAcentral.